Molecule: long non-coding RNA, 290 nt
Organism: Myotis davidii
Lineage: Eukaryota; Metazoa; Chordata; Mammalia; Chiroptera; Vespertilionidae
Exons: 4
Source: RefSeq, a predicted model, not a curated record
GGCAUUUUGAAGGCAGCUUUAAGCCUAAAGGACACUCUCCUACUUGCAGAUGAAGAAGGGGAAUGUAACAUUCUAUUAUUUUGCUUUGGAUUCAUAGAAAUUCUGAACAGGGAUAUGAAAAUGACUACAGUUUGAAGUAUCUGUUAAAUACAGCAACAUGACAUCAGAAGAAAUUGAAUCAUUUGAAGAGAUUAACACAGAGAACAAUGAUGUGAGGUCACAGGGCGAAACCACUGCCCUUCAAGUUGGCAAGACUGACCGGUGGAUAAAGAGGAUCACAACUUGCCAGA